AGCUCCAAUAGCGUAUAUUAAAGUUGCUGCGGUUAAAAAGCUCGUAGUCGGAUCUCAGUCUCGGUCGGACGGUCCAUUUCACGAUGGUACUGUUCGAAUCGGACAUUUGGCCGCGUUUCUCAGUAUGCUCUUGACUGAGUGUACUGUGAGAGUGGCACGUUUACUUUGAAAAAAUUAGAGUGUUCAAAGCAGGCUUUUCAAGCCCGGAUACAUGAGCAUGGAAUAAUGGAAUAGGACCGCGGUUCUAUUUUGUUGGUUUCUACGACCGCAGUAAUGAUUAAGAGGGACAAUUGGGGGCGUCCGUAUUUCGUUGUCAGAGGUGAAAUUCUUGGAUUUACGAAAGACGAACAACUGCGAAAGCAUUCGCCAAGAGUGUUUUCAUUAAUCAAGAACGAAAGUA
Molecule: ribosomal RNA, 400 nt
Filed under: phytoplankton environmental sample
Lineage: Eukaryota
Description: partial small subunit ribosomal RNA
Rfam family: Eukaryotic small subunit ribosomal RNA
Source: RNAcentral